AAUUCAUUGCUAGUCAAAGCCUGUUUCCAGAGAUGCGCAUCAGAGCCAGCUCUUCAGUUCUGGGAGCAAUGAGUCAAUGCCUGAUUCCACAGAUGCCUAUCAGCUGCCCUUACAUGCACUAUGAGGAUACUGAAGAAGUCUUCAAUUGAAAGACAACUAUAAGCACAAGCAAGGAGGGG
This 179-nucleotide long non-coding RNA is filed under the name Ixodes scapularis (black-legged tick). RNAcentral describes it as "uncharacterized LOC121833943". Lineage: Eukaryota; Metazoa; Arthropoda; Arachnida; Ixodida; Ixodidae. The record is from RNAcentral.